This 498-nucleotide ribosomal RNA is filed under the name uncultured bacterium. Its description in RNAcentral is "bacterial SSU rRNA". It matches the Rfam family "Bacterial small subunit ribosomal RNA", at positions 17 to 518 of the family's 1533-position model. The record is from RNAcentral.
UUCUGGCUCAGGAGUGAACGCUGGCGGCGUGCUUAACACAUGCAAGUCGAGCGAAGCACGGAAAGAUUCUUCGGAUUGAUUCCGUGACUGAGCGGCGGACGGGUGAGUAACGCGUGGGGAACCUGCCCCAUACCGGGGGAUAACAGUUAGAAAUGACUGCUAAUACCGCAUAAGCGCACACUGAGGCAUCUCAGAGUGUGAAAAACUCCGGUGGUGUGGGAUGGACCCGCGUUGGAUUAGCCAGUUGGCGGGGUAACGGCCCACCAAAGCGACCGAUCCCAUAGCCGGCCUGAGAGGGCGACCGGCCACAUUGGGACUGAGACACGGCCCAAACUCCUACGGGAGGCAGCAGUGGGGAAUAUUGCACAAUGGGGGAAACCCUGAUGCAGCGACGCCGCGUGAGUGACGAAGUAUUUCGGUAUGUAAAGCUCUAUCAGCAGGGAAGAAGACGACGGUACCUGACUAAGAAGCCCCGGCUAACUACGUGCCAGCAGCUGC